CCUACGGGGGCUGCAGUGGGGAAUAUUGCACAAUGGGCGCAAGCCUGAUGCAGCCAUGCCGCGUGUGUGAAGAAGGCCUUCGGGUUGUAAAGCACUUUCAGCGGGGAGGAAGGCGGUGAGGUUAAUAACCUCAUCGAUUGACGUUACCCGAAGAAGAAGCACCGGCUAACUCCGUGCCAGCAGCCGCGGUAAUACGGAGGGUGCAAGCGUUAAUCGGAAUUACUGGGCGUAAAGCGCACGCAGGCGGUCUGUCAAGUCGGAUGUGAAAUCCCCGGGCUCAACCUGGGAACUGCAUUCGAAACUGGCAGGCUAGAGGCUUGUAGAGGGGGGUAGAAUUCCAGGUGUAGCGGUGAAAUGCGUAGAGAUCUGGAGGAAUACCGGUGGCGAAGGCGGCCCCCUGGACAAAGACUGACGCUCAGGUGCGAAAGCGUGGGGAGCAAACAGGAUUAGAUACCCUAGUAGUC
This 464-nucleotide ribosomal RNA is filed under the name uncultured Klebsiella sp. RNAcentral describes it as "bacterial SSU rRNA". It matches the Rfam family "Bacterial small subunit ribosomal RNA", at positions 338 to 795 of the family's 1533-position model. Lineage: Bacteria; Pseudomonadati; Pseudomonadota; Gammaproteobacteria; Enterobacterales; Enterobacteriaceae. The record is from RNAcentral.